UGGGGAAUUUUGGACAAUGAGCGAAAGCCUGAUCCAGCCAUGCCGCGUGUCUGAAGAAGGCCUUCGGGUUGUAAAGGACUUUUGUCAGGGAGGAAAUCCCUAGUGCUAAUACCGCUGGGGGAUGACAGUACCUGAAGAAUAAGCACCGGCUAACUACGUGCCAGCAGCCGCGGUAAUACGUAGGGUGCGAGCGUUAAUCGGAAUUACUGGGCGUAAAGCGUGCGCAGGCGGUUUGAUAAGCCAGAUGUGAAAUCCCCGAGCUCAACUUGGGAACUGCGUUUGGAACUGUCAGACUAGAGUGCGUCAGAGGGGGGUGGAAUUCCGCGUGUAGCAGUGAAAUGCGUAGAGAUGCGGAGGAACACCGAUGGCGAAGGCAGCCCCCUGGGAUGACACUGACGCUCAUGCACGAAAGCGUGGGGAGCAAACAGGAUUAGAUACCCUGGUAGUCCACGCCCUAAACGAUGUCAAUUAGCUGUUGGGGGUUAGAAUCCCUGGUAGCGUAGCUAACGCGUGAAAUNGNCCGCCUGGGGAGUACGGCCGCAAGGUUA
RNAcentral lists this ribosomal RNA (548 nucleotides) under uncultured bacterium. RNAcentral describes it as "bacterial SSU rRNA". It matches the Rfam family "Bacterial small subunit ribosomal RNA", at positions 355 to 896 of the family's 1533-position model. The record is from RNAcentral.